CUGCCAGCGAGGCGAACUGGUGAGGGUGAAGGCCACACACCACCCCGAGGCUGCGUAGGCCGCGCGGAGGGGGCCGCCGUGUCGCCGCCCUGGGGAACUGACCCGCAGACCGGGAAGCACCGGACAGACCGAGGAUUUGUGGGUGGAAGGCAGGCAUGGUCAGACCCAUUUCCCUGUCAGGAAAGCAGAGACAGGACGUGUCUCUCUCCACGUCUUUCAGCCAGUAAAAGCAGCCAAGCUGGAGCCCAAAGCUAGGUGUCCUGACUCCCAGCGGGGGCCUCCCUGCACCAACCAUGAGCCGCUUGCUCUGGAAGAAGGUAGCCGGCGCCGCCGUCGGGCCAGGGCCAGUUCCAGCUCCGGGGCGCUGGGUCUCCAGCUCCGGCCCCGGCCCCGGCCCCAGCGACGGGCUGCCGCAGCCGCCGCAGCUGCAGGUGCCAUCCUCCGAGGGCGGGCAGCUACGGCACAACCCAUUGCACAUCCAGAUGCUCUCGAGAGGGCUCCACGAGCAAAUCUUCGGGCACACCGGGGAGGAGCCCGGCGAGGCCGCGGUGCGCCGCAGCAUCGAGCACCUGCAGAAGCACGGGCUCUGGGGGCAGUUGGCCACGCCCUUGCCAGACGUGGAGCUGCGCCUGCCGCCCCUCUAUGGGGGCAGCCUGGACCAGCACUUCUCCCUCCUGGCCCAGAAGCAGAGCCUGCCCUACCUGGAGGCGGCCAACUCGCUAUUGCAGGCCCAGCUGCCCCCCCGGCCCCCGAGCUGGGCCUGGGCGGAGGGCUGGACCCGGUACGGCCCCGAGGGGGAGGCCGCACCCGUGGCCAUCCCCGAGGAGCGGGCCCUGGUGUUCGACGUGGAGGUCUGCUUGGCAGAGGGAACUUGCCCCACAUUGGCGGUGGCCAUAUCCCCCUCGGCCUGGUAUUCCUGGUGCAGCCGGCGGCUGGUGGAAGAGCGUUACUCUUGGACCAGCCAGCUGUCGCCGGCUGACCUCAUCCCUCUAGAGGUCCCCGCCAGCGCUGGCGACCCCACCCAGCGGGAUUGGCAGGAACAGUUAGUGGUGGGGCACAACGUUUGCUUUGACCGCGCCCAUAUCAGGGAACAGUAUCUGAUCCAGGGCUCCCGCAUGCGCUUCUUGGACACUCUGAGCAUGCACAUGGCCAUCUCGGGGCUCAGCAGCUUCCAGCGCAGUCUGUGGGUGGCAGCCAAGCAGAGCAAGGGCAAGGCCCGGCACCCCACACAGCGAGCCCAGAAGUCCCGGAACAAAGCCAGCGGCCCAGUGAUCUCAUCCUGGGACUGGCUGGACAUCAGCAGUGUCAAUAAUCUGGCCGAUGUGCACAGCCUGUACGUGGGGGGGCCUCCCUUGCGGAAGGAGCCACGAGAACUGUUCGUUAAGGGUAGCAUGAAGGACAUCCGGGAGAACUUCCAGGACCUGAUGCAGUACUGUGCCCAGGACGUGUGGGCCACCUAUGAGGUUUUCCAGCAGCAGCUACCGCUCUUCAUGGAGAGGUGUCCUCACCCGGUGACUCUGGCUGGCAUGCUGGAGAUGGGUGUCUCCUACCUGCCUGUCAACCAGAACUGGGAGCGUUACGUGGCGGAGGCACAGAGCACCUACGAGGAGCUCCAGCGGGAGAUGAAGAAGUCACUGAUGGAUCUGGCCAAUGAUGCCUGCCAGCUGCUCUCAGGAGAGAGGUACAAAGAAGACCCCUGGCUCUGGGACCUGGAGUGGGACCUGCAAGAGUUUAAGCAGAAGAAGGCAAAGAAGGUGAAGAGGAAGGAGCCAGCCUCAGCCAGCAAAUUGCCCAUCCUGGGGGCUGGGGCCGCUGGGGACCUCGAGGAUCAGGAAGACCCCGGCCCCCCCAGUGAGGGGGAGGAGUUUCAGCAAGAAGCCCAGGCCCGCAUCUGCUUGGAGCAGCUGAAGGGGACCACAGAGCUCCUGCCCAAGCGGUCUCAGCACCUUCCUGGACACCCCGGGUGGUACCGGAAGCUCUGUCCUCGGCUAGAUGACCCCACGUGGACCCCCGGCCCCAGCCUCCUCAGCCUGCAGAUGCGGGUCACACCCAAACUCAUGGCGCUGACCUGGGAUGGCUUCCCCCUGCACUUCUCCGAGAGGCACGGCUGGGGAUACCUGGUACCCGGGCGGCGGGACAACCUGGCCAAAGUGCCAGCAGGCACUGCCCUCGCACCAGCUGGGGUGGCCUGUCCCUAUAGAGCCAUCGAGUCCCUGUACAGGAAGCACUGUCUUGAACAGGGGAAGCAGCAGCCCGAGCCCCAGCAGGCGGGCCUGGUGGAGGAGUUCCUGUUCACGGACAGCAGCGCCGUGUGGCAGACGGUGGAAGAACUGGGCUGCUUAGAAGUGGAGACUGAGGCCAGGAUGGAGAACUGGGAAGCAUCAGUUCCAGGUCAACCCCCAGCUUUGACUGCUGCUGGUGGCCCCAAAGCCAGCCAACCAGCCUAUCACCAUGGCGACGGACCUUACAAUGAUGUGGAUGUCCCCGGCUGCUGGUUCUUCAAGCUGCCUCACAAGGCAUCCACUCGGGGGGUCUUGGAACGUAUCCUGACAGAUAAGGUGGUUGCUGUAUUGCGAGGGAAGCCACAUGCCUGUGCAUGUGGGGUGUGUUGCAGUCAAGGAUGUCUCCCGACGGCUCUGCUCGAGGAUGGUGGUGGUUGCAAUGUGGGCAGCCCCUUUGCCAAGGACUUCUUGCCCAAGAUGGAGGACGGCACUCUGCAGGCUGGCCCAGGAGGUGCCAGUGGGCCCCGUGCCUUGGAAAUCAACAAAAUGAUUUCUUUCUGGAGGAAUGCCCAUAAGCGUAUCAGCUCCCAGAUGGUGGUGUGGCUGCCCCGAGCAGCUCUGCCCCGUGCUGUGACCAGGCACCCAGACUACGAUGAGGAAGGCCGCUAUGGGGCCAUCUUGCCCCAGGUGGUGACUGCCGGCACCAUCACCCGCCGGGCUGUGGAGCCCACGUGGCUCACUGCCAGCAACGCCCGGCCUGACCGAGUAGGCAGUGAGUUGAAGGCCAUGGUGCAGGCCCCACCUGGCUACGUGCUCGUGGGUGCUGACGUGGACUCACAGGAGCUGUGGAUCGCAGCUGUGCUUGGAGAUGCCCACUUUGCCGGCAUGCAUGGCUGCACAGCCUUUGGGUGGAUGACACUGCAGGGGAGGAAGAGCAGGGGCACCGACCUGCACAGUAAAACAGCUGCCACAGUGGGCAUCAGUCGGGAGCACGCCAAGGUCUUCAACUAUGGCCGCAUCUAUGGGGCCGGGCAGCCCUUUGCUGAGCGCCUGCUAAUGCAGUUCAACCAUCGGCUCACAAGGCAGGAGGCAGCCGAGAAGGCCCAGCAGAUGUAUGCCGUCACCAAGGGCCUCCGCCGGUAUCGGCUCUCGGAUGAGGGCGAGUGGCUGGUGAGAGAGUUGGACCUCCCUGUGCACAGAACCGAGGAUGGCUGGGUUUCCCUGCAGGAUCUCCGCAAGAUCCAGAGAGAAGCCUCAAGGAAAUCGCACUGGAAGAAGUGGGAGGUGGUCGCUGAAAGAGCGUGGAGUGGGGGCACAGAGUCAGGGAUGUUCAACAAGCUGGAGAGCAUCGCCACAGCGGACGCCCCUUGUACGCCGGUGCUGGGGUGCCGCAUCAGCCGAGCCCUGGAGCCCUCAGCUGUCCGGGGAGAGUUCAUGACCAGCCGCGUGAACUGGGUGGUACAGAGCUCUGCUGUGGACUACUUACACCUCAUGCUUGUGGCCAUGAAGUGGCUGUUUGAGGAGUUCGCCAUUGAAGGGCGCUUCUGCAUCAGCAUCCACGAUGAGGUCCGCUACCUGGUGCGGGAGGAGGACCGCUACCGUGCCGCCCUGGCCCUGCAGAUCACCAACCUCCUAACCAGGUCUCUUUCAGGUGCAUGUUCGCCUACAAGCUGGGCCUGCGUGACUUGCCACAGUCAGUCGCCUUUUUCAGUGCAGUCGAUAUUGACCGGUGCCUCAGAAAGGAAGUGACCAUGGAUUGUAAAACCCCUUCCAACCCAACAGGGAUGGAAAGAAGAUACGGGAUUCCCCAGGGGGAAGCGCUGGAUAUUUACCAGAUAAUUGAACUCACCAAAGGCUCCUUGGAAAAACGAAGCCAGCCUGGACCAUAGCUCUACCUGGUGGCUCCAUAUUUGCUCCUGUGGAGCUUCACUGGGGCAGUACAGGCUCCCAAACUCAGGCAUUCAGCUGUGCUUUUUGCAAAGGGCUUGCCCCAGGCCAGCCAUAUUUAAGUAGCAGAUGCCAAGAACAAUUGCCUCUAACUGAAGGUGCAGUUGAACAACAGACUCAGAACCAAGAUGCCAUCAUGGGUGCAGGCAGUGGAACAAGGAUGCAUUGUUGCUUACUGGGUAGAAAGCAGAAGCCCCAAAGUCCACAUUAACUCAGGCAUUUCGUUUCUUCUUUCCUUUUCUUCCUGGCUGGCUCCUUGUUCUGUCCCCUGGGGGGCGACGCAGUGCCCUAGAGGGAAGACAGUGCUGUUAUGUGUGAUAAACCUGUUGGAAGCAGUGGAAAUAAAAACCCAAACCCUCUGUCUUCCCAUUGCA
Molecule: RNA transcript, 4543 nt
Organism: Manis javanica (Malayan pangolin)
Lineage: Eukaryota; Metazoa; Chordata; Mammalia; Pholidota; Manidae
Gene: POLG
Gene name: DNA polymerase gamma, catalytic subunit
Source: RefSeq, a predicted model, not a curated record